RNAcentral lists this ribosomal RNA (1112 nucleotides) under Linognathus vituli. RNAcentral's name for it is "large subunit ribosomal RNA". The stretch from base 452 to 1112 matches the Rfam family "Archaeal large subunit ribosomal RNA", at positions 1423 to 2784 of the family's 2987-position model. The record is from RNAcentral. Lineage: Eukaryota; Metazoa; Arthropoda; Insecta; Psocodea; Linognathidae.
ACAACCCAAAACCAAAUGAUUAAUAGUAACAUAAAUAAACUAAUAAUAAGAUAGAGUAAAUUAAAGAUUAAUCAUAAUUUCGGAACAGAGAUGGAUAGUAAUUCUUGAAAUAAAAUAGAAGUAAUACAACUCUAUGUACCUUUUGUAUCAGGGAGCAAGGAAUAGCAUAUUAAAAUCUAAUCUUCCCGAACAGGAAGGAUCUCCAGAGUAAAUUCUAGCCCUGUAGAACUAUGGCUUCUAAUUUCUCUAGAGUUGUGAGAAGUAACUCGUCUUCCUAGAUAUCUGGUUACUAGAUUACACUUCUUAAGGAAGAAACCUCUAAAGGGAUAAGCUUUUAGAUAUACCAUAUUACCAUCUCAGAAUAAUUCCAGAAAUAGAAACUGUUAAUUUAAUGACUUUCUAGCUUAAUUGGUACAGAAUUAAUGUAACUUUCACGAACGAAACAAGAAAUCUUAUAAUCUUGCUAUAAGUAGAAUAAAUAUUUUGAUUCAAGGAACUCGGCAACUAAGGGUUGGAAUGUCUACUAAAAACAUUUCCUCUCGACUAACUAGGAGGUAAGGCCUGCUCACUGCCUAAGGGUAAAGAGCCGCGGUAUACUGACCGUGCUAAGGUAGCAUAAUAAUUUGCUUUUUAAUUGAAAGCUAGAAUGAAUGGUCUAACUUGACCCUCUCUGUCUCGAAUCAACUAAUUUGAAUUUAAAUUCUAAGUGAAAAUGCUUAGAUGAUUAAGUGGGACGAGAAGACCCUAUAGAUCUUUACUUGUAGCCCCCUUAUGGGAGCGGUAGCAAGGUUACCUGGGAUGGGGCUCAUGAACUCUUUAUACUUUAGAGCUAAUCGGCUCAAUUUGAUGAUCCAAUUGAAUUGAAUAUAGAAAUAGUUACCUUAGGGAUAACAGCGUCAUUGCCUUCUCUAGGCCUUAUGGAGUAAGGUAGAUUGCGACCUCGAUGUUGAAUUAAGUUCUGUUACUCUUGAAGAAAAGAGUUAACUUAGUCUGUUCGACUAUUAAAAACUUACAUGAUUUGAGUUUAGACCGACGUGAGUCAGGUCAGAUUCUAUCUUCUUUAAAUUUCUUCUCCUUAGUACGAAAGGACACGGGGAAGGGAUUUGAUUCUU